RNAcentral lists this ribosomal RNA (2159 nucleotides) under metagenome. Its description in RNAcentral is "bacterial LSU rRNA". It matches the Rfam family "Bacterial large subunit ribosomal RNA", at positions 3 to 2195 of the family's 2925-position model. The record is from RNAcentral.
UCAAACAAGAAAGAGCGCAGGGUGGAUGCCUUGGCACUAAGAGCCGAUGAAGGACGUGAUAAGCUGCGAAAAGCUGCGGGGAGGAGCAAAUAUCCAUUGAUCCGCAGGUAUCCGAAUGGGGAAACCCACCUGGAUAGACUCCAGGUAUCCAUACGCCAAUCCAUAACGUAUGGAAGGGAACCCGGUGAACUGAAACAUCUAAGUAGCCGGAGGAAAAGAAAGAAAACUCGAUUCCCAGAGUAGCGGCGAGCGAAAUGGGAGGAGCCUAAACCAGCGUGCGUGCAUGCUGGGGUUAUGGACUGCAUAAGUUACYGGAAASGAUAGUGGAAUGGUUUUGGGAAAGCCAGCCAGAGAGGGUGAAAGCCCCGUACACGAAAUCCGGACCGGGACGGCAGGAUCCAGAGUACCACGAGACACGUGGAACCUUGUGGGAAGUCGGGGGGACCACCCCCCAAGGCUAAAUACUCCUUAGUGACCGAUAGCGCAUAGUACUGUGAAGGAAAGGUGAAAAGGACCCCGGGAGGGGAGUGAAAGAGAACCUGAAACCCUGUGUUUACAAGCUGUGGGAGCACCUUAUGAGUGCGACCGCGUACUUUUUGUAGAACGGUCCGGCGAGUUACGCUGGCUGGCGAGGUUAAACGGUAGAGCCGUGGAGCCGAAGGGAAACCAAGUCUUAAGAGGGCGGAAAAGUCAGUCAGAGUAGACCCGAAACCGGGUGAUCUAUCCAUGUCCAGGUUGAAGUUGCCGUAAAAGGCAAUGGAGGACCGAACCCACAUCCGUUGAAAAGGGUGGGGAUGAGGUGUGGAUAGGGGAGAAAUUCCAAUCGAACCCGGAGAUAGCUGGUUCUCCUCGAAAUAGCUUUAGGGCUAGCCUCGAUAGAGUCUUGCGGAGGUAGAGCACUGAAUUUCCUAGGGGGCGUCAAAGCUUACCGAAGAAUAUCAAACUCCGAAUGCCGUGUAGAUGCUUAUCGGGAGUCAGACUAUACGAGAUAAGUUGGAUAGUCAAAAGGGAAAGAGCCCAGACCUCCAGCUAAGGUCCCAAAGUACGUGUUAAGUGGAAAAGGAUGUGGGAUUUCGAAGACAACCAGGAUGUUGGCUCAGAAGCAGCCAUACAUUCAAAGAGUGCGUAAUAGCUCACUGGUCGAGAGGUCCUGCGCCGAAAAUGUCCGGGGCUGAAACACGACACCGAAGCUGAGGAAUGUCUGAAGACAUUGGUAGAGGAGCAUUGGAUACGCAACGAAGCAGUACCGGAAGGAGCUGUGGAGUGUAUCGAAGAGAGAAUGCCGGAAUGAGUAGCGAGAGAGAGGUGGGAAUCCUCUCGGCCGAAUAUCUAAGGUUUCCAGGGUAAAGCUGAUCUGCCCUGGGUAAGUCGGGGCCUAAGGCGAGGACGAGAGUCGUAGCCGAUGGACAACAGGUUGAGAUUCCUGUACUGCAGUAAGACAGAACUGUGGGGACACGUGUGGAGAGCAUAGGCGCGGAAUGGAAAGCCGCGUGCAAGCGAGGUAGGAGUCCUGUAGGAAAAACCGCAGGGCAAUCCGAAGGCGUGAUGCGGACCGAAAUCUAGUAGGGAAGUAUGUGAGCCAUGCGUCAAGAAAAGCCGCUAUUGUUCUUAUUGUACCCGUACCGUAAACCGACACAGGUGGAUGAGGAGAGAAUCCUAAGGCCGACGGAAGAAGCAUUGUUAAGGAACUCGGCAAAAUGACCCCGUAACUUCGGGAGAAGGGGUGCCACAGAAAUGUGGCCGCAGAGAAUAGGCUCAAGCAACUGUUUAGCAAAAACACAGGUCUAUGCAAAACCGAAAGGUGAGGUAUAUGGGCUGACGCCUGCCCGGUGCUGGAAGGUUAAGAGGAGAGGUUAGCGCAAGCGAAGCUUUGAAUUGAAGCCCCAGUAAACGGCGGCCGUAACUAUAACGGUCCUAAGGUAGCGAAAUUCCUUGUCGGGUAAGUUCCGACCCGCACGAAAGGCGUAAUGAUUUGAGCGCUGUCUCGACAAUGCAUCCGGUGAAAUUGAAGUACCAGUGAAGAUGCUGGUUACCUGCGCCAGGACGGAAAGACCCCAUGGAGCUUUACUCCAGCUUGAUACUGGGAUUCGGUAUUGCAUGUACAGGAUAGGUGGGAGGCUGAGAAUCGGUAACGCCAGUUGCCGAGGAGCCGUUGUUGG